This 492-nucleotide ribosomal RNA is filed under the name uncultured bacterium. Its description in RNAcentral is "partial 16S ribosomal RNA". It matches the Rfam family "Bacterial small subunit ribosomal RNA", at positions 29 to 507 of the family's 1533-position model. The record is from RNAcentral.
AGUGAACGCUGGCGGUAGGCCUAACACAUGCAAGUCGAACGGCAGCACAGUAAGAGCUUGCUCUUACGGGUGGCGAGUGGCGGACGGGUGAGGAAUACAUCGGAAUCUACUUUUUCGUGGGGGAUAACGUAGGGAAACUUACGCUAAUACCGCAUACGACCUACGGGUGAAAGCAGGGGAUCUUCGGACCUUGCGCGAUUGAAUGAGCCGAUGUCGGAUUAGCUUGUUGGCGGGGUAAAGGCCCACCAAGGCGACGAUCCGUAGCUGGUCUGAGAGGAUGAUCAGCCACACUGGAACAGAGACACGGUCCAGACUCCUACGGGAGGCAGCAGAGGGGAAUAUUGGACGAUGGGCGCAAGCCUGAUCCAGCCAUACCGCGUGGGUGAAGAAGGCCUUCGGGUUGUAAAGCCCUUUUGUUGGGAAAGAAAAGCAGCAGGUUAAUACCCCGCGGUUCUGACGGUACCCAAAGAAUAAGCACCGGCUAACUUCGAG